GAUGAACGCUAGCUACAGGCUUAACACAUGCAAGUCGAGGUGCAGCAUGACCUAGCAAUAGGAUGAUGGCGACCGGCGCACGGGUGAGUAACACGUAUCCAACCUGCCGAUUAUUCCGGGAUAGCCUUUCGAAAGAAAGAUUAAUACUGGAUAGCAUAACGAGAGGACAUCUUCUUGUUAUUAAAGGAUUUCGAUAAUCGAUGAGGAUGCGUUCCAUUAGUUUGUUGGCGGAGUAACUGCUCACCAAGACAUCGAUGGAUAGGGGUGAUGAGAGGAAGGUGCCCCACAUUGGAACUGAGACACGGUCCAAACUCCUAAGGGAGGCAGCAGUGAGGAAUAUUGGUAGAUGGAAGAGAGUCUGAACCAGCCAAGUAGCGUGAAGGAUGACUGCCCUAUGAGUUGUAAACUUCUUUUAUAUGGGAAUAAAGUGGGCUACGUGUGGCUUUUUGUAUGUACCAUACGAAUAAGGAUCGGCUAACUCCGUG
RNAcentral lists this ribosomal RNA (485 nucleotides) under uncultured bacterium. RNAcentral's name for it is "partial 16S ribosomal RNA". It matches the Rfam family "Bacterial small subunit ribosomal RNA", at positions 28 to 507 of the family's 1533-position model. The record is from RNAcentral.